GGCCAGUUAGCUCAGUCGGUUAGAGCGUGGUGCUGACAACACCAACAGGGUUCAAUCCCCGUUUGGUCC
This 69-nucleotide transfer RNA is filed under the name Apaloderma vittatum (bar-tailed trogon). It matches the Rfam family "tRNA". From Rfam's summary of the family: Transfer RNA (tRNA) molecules are approximately 80 nucleotides in length. Their secondary structure includes four short double-helical elements and three loops (D, anti-codon, and T loops). Lineage: Eukaryota; Metazoa; Chordata; Aves; Trogoniformes; Trogonidae. The record is from Rfam by way of RNAcentral.